Molecule: unclassified non-coding RNA, 432 nt
Filed under: soil metagenome
Description: partial contains 5.8S ribosomal RNA, internal transcribed spacer 2, and large subunit ribosomal RNA
Rfam family: 5.8S ribosomal RNA (bases 1-120)
Source: RNAcentral
GAUGAAGAACGUAGUGAAAUGCGAUACGUAAUGUGAAUUGCAGAAUUCAGUGAAUCAUCGAAUCUUUGAACGCAUAUUGCGCUCUCUGGUAUUCCGGAGAGCAUGCUUGUUUGAGUAUCAGUAAACACCUCAACUUCCAUAUCUUUUUUGAAAUGGGAGUUGGACUUGAGUGAUCCCAACGCUUUUCCUCACCGAAAAGUGGCGGGUUACUUGAAAUGCAGGUGCAGCUGUACUUUUCUCUGAGCUAUAAGCAUAUCUAUUUAGUCUGCCUAAAAAACAGAUUAUUACCUUUGCUGCAGCUAACAUAAAGGAGAUUAGUUCUUGUGCUGACUGAUGCAGGAUUCACAAAGACAGGCUUCGGCCGACUUUGUAAACUCGAUCUCAAAUCAAGUAAGACUACCCGCUGAACUUAAGCAUAUCAAUAAGCGAGGA